GGUGAGGUGGCUGAGUGGCCGAAAGCGGCGGUUUGCUAAACCGUUGUAGGGGCUAAAACCUCUACCGAGGGUUCGAAUCCCUCCCUCACCGCCA
This 94-nucleotide transfer RNA is filed under the name Acidobacteriota bacterium. RNAcentral describes it as "Acidobacteria bacterium (soil metagenome) tRNA-Ser". It matches the Rfam family "tRNA". From Rfam's summary of the family: Transfer RNA (tRNA) molecules are approximately 80 nucleotides in length. Their secondary structure includes four short double-helical elements and three loops (D, anti-codon, and T loops). Lineage: Bacteria; Pseudomonadati; Acidobacteriota. The record is from RNAcentral.